CACAUCACGAAAGUGGAUUGUACUAGAAGUCUGCAGGCUGACCCGCAAGGGAGGCAGCGGCCCAAGGUAUGAUACCAUGAUUGGGGUG
Molecule: ribosomal RNA, 88 nt
Filed under: uncultured bacterium
Lineage: Bacteria
Description: partial 16S ribosomal RNA
Source: RNAcentral